GACGAACGCUGGCGGCGUGCCUAAUACAUGCAAGUAGAACGAAGUUGCGAACGGGUGAGUAACGCGUAGGUAACUGCCUCAUAGCGGGGGAUAACUAUUGGAAACGAUAGCUAAUACCGCAUACUGUGAGAUGGACCUGCGUUGUAUUAGCUAGUUGGUGAGGUAAAGGCUCACCAAGGCGACGAUACAUAGCCGACCUGAGAGGGUGGUCGGCCACACUGGGACUGAGGCCAGGCCCAGGAUCCUAAGGGAGGCAAGAGGAGGGAAUUUUCGGCAAUUGGCGGAAGUCUGGCCGCGCAACUCCGCGUGAGUGAAGGAGGUUUUCGGAUCGUAAAGCUAUGUUGUUAGAGAAGCGGUAACUACCCAGAAAGGGACGGCUAACUACGUGCCAGCAGCCGCGGUAAUAC
RNAcentral lists this ribosomal RNA (407 nucleotides) under uncultured bacterium. RNAcentral describes it as "partial 16S ribosomal RNA". It matches the Rfam family "Bacterial small subunit ribosomal RNA", at positions 28 to 526 of the family's 1533-position model. The record is from RNAcentral.